UGGGGAAUAUUGCACAAUGGGCGCAAGCCUGAUGCAGCCAUGCCGCGUGUGUGAAGAAGGCCUUCGGGUUGUAAAGCACUUUCAGCGAGGAGGAAGGUGGUGAGCUUAAUACGCUCAUCAAUUGACGUUACUCGCAGAAGAAGCACCGGCUAACUCCGUGCCAGCAGCCGCGGUAAUACGGAGGGUGCAAGCGUUAAUCGGAAUUACUGGGCGUAAAGCGCACGCAGGCGGUUUGUUAAGUCAGAUGUGAAAUCCCCGGGCUCAACCUGGGAACUGCAUUUGAAACUGGCAAGCUAGAGUCUCGUAGAGGGGGGUAGAAUUCCAGGUGUAGCGGUGAAAUGCGUAGAGAUCUGGAGGAAUACCGGUGGCGAAGGCGGCCCCCUGGACGAAGACUGACGCUCAGGUGCGAAAGCGUGGGGCAGCAAACAGGAUUAGAUACCCUGGUAGUCCACGCUGUAAACGAUGUCGAUUUUGGAGGUUGUGCCCUUGAGGCGUGGCUUCCGGAGCUAACGCGUUAAAGUCGA
This 524-nucleotide ribosomal RNA is filed under the name uncultured bacterium. Its description in RNAcentral is "partial 16S ribosomal RNA". It matches the Rfam family "Bacterial small subunit ribosomal RNA", at positions 355 to 868 of the family's 1533-position model. The record is from RNAcentral.